CUUUUAGACCUUCCUGGAGGAGCUUGCUAUCUAACCGAUAACCCACGAAAAACCUCACCGACUUUUGAAAAAACAACCUGUAUACCAUCGUCGUCAGCCUACCUCUUAAGAGAAGUAUGCUUAAUGAACCCCUUCUUCCCCACGUCAGAUCAAGGUGCAGUUAAUAAGUCGGGGAUAAGUGAGCUACAAUAACCCCUCAAUAUUCACCCCAACCUUCUUUAUGAACAACUUUAUGAAACAAAAGUUUAAAAUAGGAUUCAGCAGUAAUCACUAAAAUAAAAUAGAGAUGAAGCCUGCUCUAAAAUGCGU
Molecule: ribosomal RNA, 309 nt
Filed under: Pseudarchaster parelii
Lineage: Eukaryota; Metazoa; Echinodermata; Asteroidea; Valvatida; Goniasteridae
Description: partial 12S ribosomal RNA
Source: RNAcentral